CAGUUCAGAAGAUUAUACUAAUCAGAGAGUACAUCUAUAUGAUUUUUGUAAAUUUUGGUGUAACAAACUCAUAAUCAAUUGAGAUGAUGUACAAUUGUACCUGGAGAUAAAUAACUUGUAAGAAUCUGUCAUAGGUGUAAUUGAUAAUUAAACAGUUGUCCUGUGAUGCAAGUAGAUUUUGCUCCAGCCUUUAAAUGACCAAAUGAUUAAUGAUACUGCAUAGCU
Molecule: long non-coding RNA, 225 nt
Filed under: Bos taurus (domestic cattle)
Lineage: Eukaryota; Metazoa; Chordata; Mammalia; Artiodactyla; Bovidae
Description: long non-coding RNA NONBTAT006234
Source: RNAcentral